RNAcentral lists this ribosomal RNA (437 nucleotides) under uncultured beta proteobacterium. RNAcentral's name for it is "bacterial SSU rRNA". It matches the Rfam family "Bacterial small subunit ribosomal RNA", at positions 189 to 629 of the family's 1533-position model. The record is from RNAcentral. Lineage: Bacteria; Pseudomonadati; Pseudomonadota; Betaproteobacteria.
GAAAACGGGGAUCGAAAGACCUCGCGUUAUUGGAGCGGCCGAUAUCUGAUUAGCUAGUUGGUGGGGUAAAGGCCCACCAAGGCGACGAUCAGUAGCUGGUCUGAGAGGACGACCAGCCACACUGGAACUGAGACACGGUCCAGACUCCUACGGGAGGCAGCAGUGGGGAAUUUUGGACAAUGGGGGAAACCCUGAUCCAGCCAUUCCGCGUGAGUGAAGAAGGCCUUCGGGUUGUAAAGCUCUUUCGCAAGGAAAGAAAACUUACCCUCUAAUAUAGGGUGAGGCUGACGGUACCUUGAGAAGAAGCACCGGCUAACUACGUGCCAGCAGCCGCGGUAAUACGUAGGGUGCGAGCGUUAAUCGGAAUUACUGGGCGUAAAGCGUGCGCAGGCGGUUCUGCAAGUCAGAUGGAAAUCCCCCAAUUCGGCAAAUGUUUG